This 468-nucleotide ribosomal RNA is filed under the name uncultured bacterium. RNAcentral describes it as "partial 16S ribosomal RNA". It matches the Rfam family "Bacterial small subunit ribosomal RNA", at positions 28 to 507 of the family's 1533-position model. The record is from RNAcentral.
GACGAACGCUGGCGGCGUGCUUAACACAUGCAAGUCGAACGGAAAGGCCCUGCUUUUGUGUGGUUCUCGAUUGGCGAACGGGUGAGUAACACGUGAGUAACCUGCCCUUGUCUUUGUGAUAACUUCAGGAAACUGGGGCUAAUACCGGAUAUGAUCUCCUGCUGCAUGUUGGGGGUUGGAAAGUUUCGGCGGUUGGGGAUGGACUCGCUGCUUAUCAGCUUGUUGGUGGGGUAGUGGCUUACAAAGGGUUUGACGGGUAGCCGGCCUGAGAGGGUGACCGGCGACAUUGGGACUGAGAUAGGGCCCAGACUCCUAUGGGAGGCAGCAGUGGGGAAUAUUGCACAAUGGGGGGAAGUCUGAUGCAGAAACGCCGCGUGCGGGAUGACGGGGUUCGGGUUGUAAACCGAUUUCGACUGUGACGAAGAGUGAGUGACGGUAAUGGGUAAAGAAGCACCGGCUAACUACGUG